AAAAUCCGUCGACUUUAUAAAUCGUGAACAUS
Molecule: transfer RNA, 32 nt
Filed under: Protea gaguedi
Lineage: Eukaryota; Viridiplantae; Streptophyta; Magnoliopsida; Proteales; Proteaceae
Description: partial transfer RNA-Leu
Source: RNAcentral